RNAcentral lists this long non-coding RNA (580 nucleotides) under Sinocyclocheilus anshuiensis. RNAcentral's name for it is "lncRNA (ENSSANG00000036583.1)". The record is from RNAcentral. Lineage: Eukaryota; Metazoa; Chordata; Actinopteri; Cypriniformes; Cyprinidae.
CACUGUCUGCAAAUGAGUGGAUACCGUUUUGCAACUAAUUUAUUUGCAAUGUUUGCUAAAGGGAAGUGGCUGGGGAAGUAGUCAGGGAAGUGGUCCAGGUCAGGGAAGUGGCUGGGGAAGUAGUCAGGGAAGUGGUCAGGGAAGUGGCUGGGGAAGUAGUCAGGGAAGUGGUCCAGGUCAGGGAAGUGGCUGGGGAAGUAGUCAGGGAAGUGGUCCAGGUCAGGGAAGUGGCUGGGGAAGUAGUCAGGGAAGUGGUCCAGGAAGUGGUCAAGGAAGUGGUCAAGGUCAGGAAAGUGGUUGGGGAAGUGGCUGGGGAAGUAGUCAAGGUCAAGGAAGUGGUCAGGAAAGUGGUCCUGGUUGGGGAAGUGGCUGGGGAAGUAGUCAGGGAAGUGGUCCAAUUCAGUGCUUUAUUCAUAUGGCAUGUUUUCCAUGUUUGCUCAAACAGUUAAGAGAUUUCUGUCUUUCUCUUGGCCCCUCCCCCCCACCCCCAAAAAAAAUUAAAAGAAUUGCGAUUUGAGGAGUUGAUGGAGGUGUGUGUGUGUGGUUUUUGUUUAUUGCAAAUGAUUUAUUCUGAAGCCAU